This 253-nucleotide ribosomal RNA is filed under the name uncultured bacterium. Its description in RNAcentral is "partial 16S ribosomal RNA". It matches the Rfam family "Bacterial small subunit ribosomal RNA", at positions 524 to 776 of the family's 1533-position model. The record is from RNAcentral.
UACGGGGGGGGCAAGCGUUGUUCGGAAUUACUGGGCGUAAAGGGCUCGUAGGCGGCCAACUAAGUCGGAUGUGAAAUCCCCAGGCUUAACCUGGGAACUGCAUCCGAUACUGGAUGGCUUGAAUCCGGGAGAGGGAUGCAGAAUUCCAGGUGUAGCGGUGAAAUGCGUAGAUAUCGGGAGGAACACCAGUGGCGAAGGCGGCUUCCUGGACCGGUUCUGACACUGAGGAGCGAAAGCGUGGGGAGCGAUCCGG